Molecule: non-coding RNA, 71 nt
Organism: Armillaria nabsnona
Lineage: Eukaryota; Fungi; Basidiomycota; Agaricomycetes; Agaricales; Physalacriaceae
Source: the annotation of a GenBank genome assembly
GACACUACAGCGAAGUGGUCAAGGUCGAAUGUUCAGACGUUCAGGCCCAGGUUCGAAUCCUACUAGUGUCG